GUCGCACCUACCGAUUGAAUGAUUUAGUGAGAUAUUUGGACUGGGUAUUGCAGGCGCUUCGGCAUUUGCUUUAUCCGGAAAGAAAAUCAAACUGAAUCCUUUAGAGGAAGUAAAAGUCGUAACAAGGUUUCCGUAGGUGAACCUGC
This 146-nucleotide ribosomal RNA is filed under the name uncultured eukaryote. RNAcentral describes it as "partial small subunit ribosomal RNA". It matches the Rfam family "Eukaryotic small subunit ribosomal RNA", at positions 1675 to 1818 of the family's 1831-position model. The record is from RNAcentral.